RNAcentral lists this ribosomal RNA (160 nucleotides) under uncultured bacterium. RNAcentral's name for it is "partial 16S ribosomal RNA". It matches the Rfam family "Bacterial small subunit ribosomal RNA", at positions 355 to 507 of the family's 1533-position model. The record is from RNAcentral.
UGGGGAAUUUUGGACAAUGGGCGAAAGCCUGAUCCAGCAAUGCCGCGUGCAGGAUGAAGGCCUUCGGGUUGUAAACUGCUUUUGUACGGAACGAAAAAGCUUCUCCUAAUACGAGAGGCCCAUGACGGUACCGUAAGAAUAAGCACCGGCUAACUACGUG